This 206-nucleotide ribosomal RNA is filed under the name uncultured bacterium. Its description in RNAcentral is "partial 16S ribosomal RNA". It matches the Rfam family "Bacterial small subunit ribosomal RNA", at positions 568 to 774 of the family's 1533-position model. The record is from RNAcentral.
AGCGCAGACGGUUUAUUAAGUCUGAUGUGAAAGCCCGGAGCUCAACUCCGGAAUGGCAUUGGAAACUGGUUAACUUGAGUGCAGUAGAGGUAAGUGGAACUCCAUGUGUAGCGGUGGAAUGCGUAGAUAUAUGGAGAACACCAGUGGCGAAGGCGGCUUACUGGACUGCAACUGACGUUGAGGCUCGAAAGUGUGGGUAGCAAACA